RNAcentral lists this ribosomal RNA (406 nucleotides) under uncultured bacterium. RNAcentral's name for it is "partial 16S ribosomal RNA". It matches the Rfam family "Bacterial small subunit ribosomal RNA", at positions 30 to 526 of the family's 1533-position model. The record is from RNAcentral.
AUUGAACGCUGGCGGCAGGCUUAACACAUGCAAGUCGAGCGAGCGGCGGACGGGUGAGUAAUGUCUGGACAACUGACUGAUGGAGGGGGAUAACUACUGGAAACGGUAUCUAAUACCGCAUACCAUCAGAUGUGCCCAGAGGGGCUUAGCUAGUAGGUGUGGUAAUGGCUCACCUAGGCGACGCUCCCUAGCUGGUCUGGGAGGAUGACAAGCAACACUGGAACUGAUACACGGUCCAUACUCCUACGUGAGGCAGCAGUGUGGAAUAUUGCACAAUGGGCGCAAGCCUGAUGCAGCCAUGCCGCGUGUGUGAAGAAGGCCUUCGGGUUGUAAAGCACUUUCAGCGAGGAGGCGUUACUCGCAGAAGAAGCACCGGCUAACUCCGUGCCAGCAGCCGCGGUAAUAC